This 497-nucleotide ribosomal RNA is filed under the name uncultured bacterium. RNAcentral's name for it is "partial 16S ribosomal RNA". It matches the Rfam family "Bacterial small subunit ribosomal RNA", at positions 28 to 507 of the family's 1533-position model. The record is from RNAcentral.
GAUGAACGCUGGCGGCGUGCCUAAUACAUGCAAGUCGAGCGAACAGACGAGGAGCUUGCUCCUCUGACGUUAGCGGCGGACGGGUGAGUAACACGUGGAUAACCUACCUAUAAGACUGGGAUAACCUCGGGAAACCGGAGCUAAUACCGGAUAAUAUAUUGAACCGCAUGGUUCAAUAGUGAAAGACGGUUUUGCUGUCACUUAUAGAUGGAUCCGCGCCGCAUUAGCUAGUUGGUAAGGUAACGGCUUACCAAGGCAACGAUGCGUAGCCGACCUGAGAGGGUGAUCGGCCACACUGGAACGGAGACACGGUCCAGACUCCUACGGGAGGCAGCAGUAGGGAAUCUUCCGCAAUGGGCGAAAGCCUGACGGAGCAACGCCGCGUGAGUGAUGAAGGUCUUCGGAUCGUAAAACUCUGUUAUUAGGGAAGAACAAAUGUGUAAGUAACUAUGCACGUCUUGACGGUACCUAAUCAGAAAGCCACGGCUAACUACGUG